AGGCGAAGGGGCAGCAAUGUCACUGUCGUACGGGUGCGUAACGCGUAUGCAACCUACCUAUCACUGGGGGAUAGCCCGGGGAAACCCGGAUUAAUACCGCAUAAAACAGGGGCACCGCAUGGUGAUAUUUGUUAAAGAUUUAUUGGUGAUAGAUGGGCAUGCGUUCGAUUAGCUAGUUGGCGGGGUAACGGCCCACCAAGGCGACGAUCGAUAGGGGAGCUGAGAGGUUGAUCCCCCACACGGGCACUGAGAUACGGGCCCGACUCCUACGGGAGGCAGCAGUAGGGAAUAUUGGGCAAUGGAUGCAAGUCUGACCCAGCCAUGCCGCGUGCCGGAUGAAGGCCCUCAGGGUUGUAAACGGCUUUUAUUCGGGAAGAAGAGCAGGGAUGCGUCCUUGUGUGACGGUACCGAAUGAAUAAGCACCGGCU
This 428-nucleotide ribosomal RNA is filed under the name Dyadobacter fermentans. RNAcentral's name for it is "bacterial SSU rRNA". It matches the Rfam family "Bacterial small subunit ribosomal RNA", at positions 60 to 498 of the family's 1533-position model. The record is from RNAcentral. Lineage: Bacteria; Pseudomonadati; Bacteroidota; Cytophagia; Cytophagales; Spirosomataceae.